UACGGAGGGUGCGAGCGUUAAUCGGAAUUACUGGGCGUAAAGGGUGCGUAGGCGGCUUGAUAAGUCGGAUGUGAAAGCCCCGGGCUUAACCUGGGAAUUGCAUUCGAUACUGUCAGGCUAGAGUAUGUCAGAGGUUGGCGGAAUUCCUGGUGUAGCGGUGAAAUGCGUAGAUAUCAGGAGGAACACCAGUGGCGAAGGCGGCUAACUGGGGCAAUACUGACGCUGAGGCACGAAAGCGUGGGGAGCAAACAGGAUUAGAAACCCUUGUAGUCC
RNAcentral lists this ribosomal RNA (273 nucleotides) under uncultured bacterium. RNAcentral's name for it is "partial 16S ribosomal RNA". It matches the Rfam family "Bacterial small subunit ribosomal RNA", at positions 524 to 796 of the family's 1533-position model. The record is from RNAcentral.